GGUUGCAAUCGCUUUGUCAUUAAUGCUGACAAUAUGGAAGUCAUUAAUACCAUGAAUAAUGGAGGACAAGCGGCGGCGGCAGUGUUUGCUGAUUGUUAUUUUUUAGCAUGCGAUUUUUCUCUUACUAGUUUUGAGCAUUGUAAUGGGGAAGCGAAUAAGGUAGCUCAUGAACUUGCCAGAUUAGCUAAAUUUUCUGAGACAAGGCAUUGGUUUGAGGAGCUUUUGGUCGAAAUUGUACAACCUCUAAUAGACGAUGUAACCGUCAUUUCUAAUUAA
Molecule: ribosomal RNA, 276 nt
Filed under: Triticum aestivum (bread wheat)
Lineage: Eukaryota; Viridiplantae; Streptophyta; Magnoliopsida; Poales; Poaceae
Description: partial small subunit ribosomal RNA
Source: RNAcentral